Molecule: ribosomal RNA, 201 nt
Filed under: uncultured bacterium
Lineage: Bacteria
Description: partial 16S ribosomal RNA
Rfam family: Bacterial small subunit ribosomal RNA
Source: RNAcentral
CCAGCAGCCGCGACGGGAGGCAGCAGUAAGGAAUAUUGGUCAAUGGAGGGAACUCUGAACCAGCCAUGCCGCGUGCAGGAUGACUGCCCUAUGGGUUGUAAACUGCUUUUGUCCAGGAAUAACCACCACUACGUGUAGUGGCUUGAAUGUACUGGAAGAAUAAGGAUCGGCUAACUCCGUGCCAGCAGCCGCGGUAAUAAU